CCUACGGGAGGCAGCAGUGGGGAAUAUUGCACAAUGGGGGAAACCCUGAUGCAGCGACGCCGCGUGAGUGAAGAAGUAUUUCGGUAUGUAAAGCUCUAUCAGCAGGGAAGAAGAAAGACGGUACCUGACUAAGAAGCCCCGGCUAACUACGUGCCAGCAGCCGCGGUAAUACGUAGGGGGCAAGCGUUAUCCGGAUUUACUGGGUGUAAAGGGAGCGUAGACGGCUGUGCAAGUCUGAAGUGAAAGCCCAGGGCUCAACCCUGGGACUGCUUUGGAAACUGUGGAGCUUGAGUGCUGGAGAGGUAAGUGGAAGUCCUAGUGUAGCGGUGAAAUGCGUAGAUAUUAGGAGGAACACCAGUGGCGAAGGCGGCUUACUGGACAGUAACUGACGUUGAGGCUCGAAAGCGUGGGGAGCAAACAGGAUUAGAUACCCGAGUAGUC
RNAcentral lists this ribosomal RNA (441 nucleotides) under uncultured bacterium. RNAcentral describes it as "partial 16S ribosomal RNA". It matches the Rfam family "Bacterial small subunit ribosomal RNA", at positions 338 to 795 of the family's 1533-position model. The record is from RNAcentral.